This 250-nucleotide ribosomal RNA is filed under the name Klebsiella pneumoniae. Its description in RNAcentral is "partial 16S ribosomal RNA". It matches the Rfam family "Bacterial small subunit ribosomal RNA", at positions 447 to 686 of the family's 1533-position model. Lineage: Bacteria; Pseudomonadati; Pseudomonadota; Gammaproteobacteria; Enterobacterales; Enterobacteriaceae. The record is from RNAcentral.
GAGAAACGCGAUAAGGUUACAAACCAUGGCGAUCAGCGUUACCAGCAGAAGAAGCACCGGCUAACACCGUGCCAGCAGCUGCAGUAAUACGGAAGGUGCAAGCGUUAAUCGGAAUUACUGGGCGUAAAGCGCACUCAGGGGGUUUGUCAAGUCGGCUGUGAAAUCCCCUGGCUUAGCAUGGGAACUGCAUUCGAAACUGGCAGGCCAGAGUCUUGUAGAGGCGGGUAGAAUCCCAGGUGUAGCGGUGAAA